Molecule: long non-coding RNA, 2387 nt
Organism: Cuculus canorus (common cuckoo)
Lineage: Eukaryota; Metazoa; Chordata; Aves; Cuculiformes; Cuculidae
Exons: 3
Source: RefSeq, a predicted model, not a curated record
UCUCUGGUGUAUGACAGCCUGGUGUAUUCCAGAGAAGCGGUGACCACAUGCAUCUAACAGAGCUUCCUCUUGGUGAUACCUCUAUGGAGGCAACACCAUUAACUGUGAAAACAAAGAUAUGCAUGAAGGCUGAAAGCAAAGCUGCCGAUAGACAUAGAUUUGGAAGGAAAAGCCUAACAGCCACGUCCAAACGCCCUGGGAGGCUUCUUUCACCUGUGCUGUGAAGGAAUGAGCAGUGACUGGAGGACAGUUUAACUGUACUGGAAACAAGAUGGGAAAGAGAACAGCAACAAAGAAAAGGCAGGGCAACAGUUUGUUCGGAGGAGAGGCUCAUAUGGGGCUGAGUUUCAUUCUAAGGCUCUGCUUUAUCUGAGCUGAGCAUGGCAUCGGCUGAAAUUCAGAAUGAAACUAGGACACAAACUUAAUUGCAAAACCAUCUGAAACCACAGGACGCAGUCAGAGAAAAUUCUCACUCAUUUGAGGCUGGCAUAGAGUUUCACUUUGAGCUUCAGCAGGAGGUUUUGAGGCCCCUAAAACAGAUUCAGGGAGUUAAAAAUUCAGUUGCUCCCCCAAAUUCAACCCUGGCCUAGCAGAACUAUUGAGAGGAAUGAUUAGAGAGCAUCCAUAGGAGAAGGAAGGACAGCUGGUUGGCACAUUUUUUUCCAUCUAAGAGUGAGAUUUGUAGAGAAUAUUCUGUAACUGUUGGUGUAAACAGAUAUGGUCAUCUUAAAAUACCUCUAUUCAAUGCCAUGACAAUGAGUGACACAGAAAAGCCAAAGGUCAACAGCUGUUUCUCUUGCAAAAACAACAAACCAAGAACCUCAGACCUACCGAGACCAGCCAGCCACAGUGCUCGCGCUGUUCUUCUCAUUGUCAACUGUUGAUGGCUGAUUCCUGGAAAUAACCAGGGAGAGAGAGAGGUCUGUGCCUAACAUGAACAGACUUGUGGUUGCAUUGAAAAAAGCCAAAGCAGCAGCUUCAAACAAGUCAUUCUAACAGUAUCGCUCCCUGUCACUGUCUCUCUGCUGCUCCCUGAAAGAAUAUUUUCUGUCACAGACUUUUAUCCCACUUUGUAUUUCUGUCCUACUGCCACUAUGCUGUUUUCAUCCAUAAAGACAGAUUUUGUCUGAAUCUCAGGAGACAAAACUGUAAUUUUUCCUAUACUUAGAAGCAGAUGGGGAUCCUGUGGGAUGGGUUCAGGCUCAGGGAUAUGUUGCACAAGGACUCCCAGGCGUGAACGCUCAUCCUGAGCAUCACGGGAGGCCCUCCACCUUGCUGUGACUCCUUCAUUGUGAUAGGGGCAGGGGAGGAGCUGCAGAGUUUUUGUUCCUUUAUGAUAUUUUGGAAAACAAAAAAAUUCUGAGUUCGGGAGAUAGUCUGUCUUCAGCUCUAUACUGAUUUUUCCUUGAGUAUCCUAAAGGGCAUGAGAUUUUUGGAAUGUUCAGUCCUGUGCACCCUGGAGGAAGCUGAGGGUCUGAUGCAAAGCCUGUUUGUAUCAGGAAAGCGGUUGCUGCUGAGCGGAGGGAGGUUUUGUGUAGCAGAGAGGUGAAUCCUGCUGCUGGGAUGGGCAAACCUUUGUAACAGAGAGCUUUUUUUCUGGUGCCUUUGGCGUUUGGGUGUAAAACUAGGCCUUUCAUUUCUUCUUUUCAUGUGUAUAUUCAGUGUGAUGCAGGUAUGGUGUGGAGUUUUGCAGUUGGUAGAUAUCCUCGUAAGGUUCCAUUUGUUUCUGUGAUUUUUACAAGGGAUGAACAGGAUACCAUUUCUAGGCAAAACACACAGUAGUAUAUCAGGAGGAGGGGGGGAAGGGGCAGAAAUCCAAGGAAAACAGUAUCUGAAUGUUAUUUGUCUUACGAGCAAGCACAUGUAGGCGUUUAUUAUUUCUGAAGGCUCUCUUGUCAGUUGGACAUUGAACAAUUGUGACAUCUGUUGUAAUUUAUUGUCCCCCAGAGUAAUUUCACACGGUUUGGAGUUUGCUUUUUUUUCCAUCCACCACAAAUAAAACCCAGAAUUAUUUCCCUGUCCCCACCAAGGUGAGUGGGAGCCUCCUGGGAGAUGUUGGAGACCAGAAGGAGGACAGGUUUUGCAGAAGAGGGUGGUUGGGUUCUCUCUCCCCUACCAUGGCUUGAGUGGUGAAACUCCCACUUCGCACUGUGUGAGAGAACCCCUUGAGGUCCUCAGGAGAUUAGACAAUCAUCAGUUCAUUAAAACAAAAACAAAGACGGGCUGCAAUUGCUGACCUGCAGUUCCAAACCUUCUGAACUGUUAUCCUGGGCUGCAUCAGGAAUCCUUGUGUUGGUGUUUGCAGGUUUGCACAUUGUUGACACCUCCCAUACCGGAGCUGGGAAGGCCACGGCCAAGUCGGCUUUCCCUUUCAGCCCAUCCGCCUU